Molecule: ribosomal RNA, 443 nt
Filed under: uncultured bacterium
Lineage: Bacteria
Description: partial 16S ribosomal RNA
Rfam family: Bacterial small subunit ribosomal RNA
Source: RNAcentral
CCUACGGGAGGCAGCAGUGGGGAAUAUUGCACAAUGGGGGAAACCCUGAUGCAGAGACGCCGCGUGGGUGAAGGAGCGUUUCGGCGCGUAAAGCCCUAUCGGCAGGGAAGAAGGAGGACGGUACCUGACUAAGAAGCCCCGGCUAACUACGUGCCAGCAGCCGCGGUAAUACGGAGGGGGCAAGCGUUAUCCGGAUUUACUGGGUGUAAAGAGUUGCGUAGGUGGCCUAAUAAGUAGCUAGUGAAAUCUGGUGGCUCAACCAUUCAGACUAUUAGCUAAACUGUUAAGCUCGAGACCGUUAGGGGUAACUGGAAUUUCUGGUGUAGGAGUGAAAUCCGUAGAUAUUAGAAGGAACACCAAUAGCGUAGGCAGGUUGCUGGGACGGUUCUGACACUAAGGCACGAAAGCGUAGGGAGCAAACGGGAUUAGAUACCCCAGUAGUC